UCUCCCUCACACGCACUAUAAAUAACACUCAUUUUCACUCUUCUUUACUACUCUAUCCCUCUCCUUCACAUUUCUCCAUCAAAACCAAUCAACAACCACCAAAUCCACCAAAAUCCUCUUUUUUUUCAGCCAAACACACUUCAUUUUCGGCGAGUGUUGGAACAGAACUUGUCACACUCGUUGAGAAUCCUUAUCGCGCGAUCAAACUGUUUCUGGCCUACUUUCUCAGCAGAAGCAAGAAGAUUUUCGACUAGUGCAACAUUUCUAGUGUCUUCAUCAGGAUGGCUAAACAUGUAUGCUUCUCGAUCAUCACAUAUGGCAAACGAUUGGAUGAACUUUUCAGCACCCAAACAAAGGAUUUCGUCUGUAGGAUCUUGAAUGCUGAAGGCAAUUGAGAUUGUUGAUGAGAAUAAUCCCACAUCGGAUCGAGACAAGAACCUGGGCUAAUUAUAAGGCUUGGGCAAUCAUUUUUUAUUUUAGCUAACUUUUGGAGUUGAGUUAGGUUCAUCGAUGGAGAUCUCAUCUUCUGCUUUGAUGAUCCCGUAAUCUCAAAAGAUUUCUUCUCUGUUUCUUCUUCCACAUUAAAAUCCCAAUCAUCAAGACUAACAAAAUCAAAGUCUAGUAAGUUAAUUUCAUUUGAUUCUGAACUAUUUAAUGACUUGCAUUUGUUAGGAACUUGAUCAAAAUGGAACAUUUUUGCUCAAAUCUUGAAUAGUAUUGAAAGGCAAGCUUGAUAUUAGUCUUCCCAACAUAUACUACUAGUGAAAUCCAUGUAUUAGUUUUUAUAUAAGAUUGUUUUGGAGAUUUUGAUGGUAUUGUCUGCUUUAUACAACAACAUAAUAUUAAUGUAAUCCCACAAAUGAGGUAUGGAUAAAGUGUAUGUGUAUAUACA
This is a long non-coding RNA of Solanum dulcamara, 892 nucleotides long. RefSeq lists it as uncharacterized. The record is from RefSeq and is a predicted model, not a curated record. The transcript has 3 exons. NCBI's taxonomy places the organism in Eukaryota, Viridiplantae, Streptophyta, Magnoliopsida, Solanales, Solanaceae.